This 505-nucleotide ribosomal RNA is filed under the name uncultured bacterium. RNAcentral describes it as "bacterial SSU rRNA". It matches the Rfam family "Bacterial small subunit ribosomal RNA", at positions 29 to 524 of the family's 1533-position model. The record is from RNAcentral.
AUUGAACGCUGGCGGAAUGCUUUACACAUGCAAGUCGAACGGCAGCACGGGGGCAACCCUGGUGGCGAGUGGCGAACGGGUGAGUAAUACAUCGGAACGUGCCCGAGUCGUGGGGGGAUAACUACGCGAAAGCGUAGCCAAUACCGCAUACGAUCUACGGAUGAAAGCGGGGGAUCGCAAGACCUAGCGCUGGAAGAGGGGCCCGCGUCCGAUUAGCUAGUUGGUGAGGUAACGGCUCACCAAGGCAACGAUCGGUAGCCGGCCUGAGAGGGCGACGGCCACACUGGGACUGAGACACGGGCCCAGACUCCUACGGGAGGCAGCAGUAGGGAAUUGUUCGCAAUGGGCGCAAGCCUGACGACGCAAACGCCGCGUGGAGGAUGAAGAUUUUCGGAUCGUAAACUCCUUUCGAUCGAGACGAAUGGCCUCCGGGUGAAUACCCCGGAGGAAUGACGGUACCGAGAGAAGAAGCCCCGGCUAACUCCGUGACAGCAGCCGCAGUAAU